This 352-nucleotide ribosomal RNA is filed under the name uncultured bacterium. Its description in RNAcentral is "bacterial SSU rRNA". It matches the Rfam family "Bacterial small subunit ribosomal RNA", at positions 167 to 507 of the family's 1533-position model. The record is from RNAcentral.
UACCGGAUGCGACGCGAGGAGCCUCGGCGCUUCGGACGGGAAAGAUUCGACAAGGAUCACUGAAGGACGAGCCUGCGGCCCAUCAGCUAGUUGGUGAGGUAAGAGCUCACCAAGGCGAAGACGGGUAGCUGGUCUGAGAGGAUGAUCAGCCACACUGGAACUGAGACACGGUCCAGACUCCUACGGGAGGCAGCAGUGGGGAAUAUUGCGCAAUGGGCGAAAGCCUGACGCAGCCACGCCGCGUGAGCGAUGAAGGCCUUCGGGUCGUAAAGCUCUGUGGGGAGAGAAGAAUAAAGCCUGUGAAGAGCAGGCCUUGACGGUAUCUCCUUAGCAAGCACCGGCUAACUCCGUG